CCCAAUCUAACAUUACGACUUUCCAUUGCAAAAGAUGGAUGCAUCCUAUCAAAGUGUUUCCAUGCAGGAGCAGUGUUGCAUCACACCUUCCUCAACUUCAUGCUCGGCGUGCCAUCGCAUGUGUGAGGCAGUCGCUUCAGAAGCAUAUAGUCGUUGCAACCGUGGAGUAAGAGGAAAGUAAUACAUCUAUUUGAAUGGUAUAAGAUUUCUCUUUGAAUUAGAACCUUGACCACUAGUCUUGUAUCUGGGAUGACUACAAAACUUGCAAUACAAAAGUUCACUGUCCACUCCCCAAUAAAUCAUGCACGCAUUAGUACAACUAUGAAUUUUUUCUACUGGCAUGUUCAUUCCCCACAUCAACUUCUUAGUUUCAUAGAAAUUUUUGGACAUCAGGUAUCGGCGGAAUUAGCGCAUUCAAAAAUUGAAAAAUGUCAUCAAAACAUCUUUCAGAGAGGUGGUGUUCAGUCUUGAUGAAACAUGAAACAACUGAUAAUUGAGAAUGUGUUUCACAACCAGGCCACACUUCUUGAUUCGCAGCAUCAAUCAUAUCAUAAAAUUUAUGUGCAUCAGGGUUAGGUAAUUCAUCCCGAUCAUUCAGAUCUAAUGAGGGACCAACAGCCUCCUGAACCAUUCUAUGAUAUGAAGUAGAUGGUCCACUCUCAUCAUAUGCAUCAACAGUAACUGGUGAGUUAUUCAUAGUAUGAUCCAAAUUGUGCAUCCUUUCAUGUUCAUCUGUACUUGUAACCUCACUUUCUCCAUGCAAGUACCAAACAUGAUAUCUCAAGACAAAACCAUUACCCAACAAAUGUCCAUGGACUGCAUGAACAUCUUCAAAGUUUCUAUUCUAACAUAUCUUUCGGUUGCAUGGGAACAUUAGUCUCUCACCAUCCCU
RNAcentral lists this long non-coding RNA (892 nucleotides) under Solanum tuberosum (potato). RNAcentral describes it as "long non-coding RNA (STUB_LNC002605)". The record is from RNAcentral. Lineage: Eukaryota; Viridiplantae; Streptophyta; Magnoliopsida; Solanales; Solanaceae.